RNAcentral lists this ribosomal RNA (376 nucleotides) under uncultured bacterium. RNAcentral describes it as "bacterial SSU rRNA". It matches the Rfam family "Bacterial small subunit ribosomal RNA", at positions 29 to 433 of the family's 1533-position model. The record is from RNAcentral.
AACGAACGCUGGCGGCAUGCCUAACACAUGCAAGUCGAACGAGACCUUCGGGUCUAGUGGCGCACGGGUGCGUAACGCGUGGGAAUCUGCCCUUCGGUUCGGAAUAACUCAGGGAAACUUGAGCUAAUACCGGAUAAUGACGUAAGUCCAAAGAUUUAUCGCCGAAGGAUGAGCCCGCGUAGGAUUAGCUUGUUGGUGGGUAAUGGCCCACCAAGGCGACGAUCCUUAGCUGGUCUGAGAGGAUGAUCAGCCACACUGGGACUGAGACACGGCCCAGACUCCUACGGGAGGCAGCAGUGGGGAAUAUUGGACAAUGGGCGAAAGCCUGAUCCAGCAAUGCCGCGUGAGUGAUGAAGGCCUUAGGGUUGUAAAGCUC